This is a non-coding RNA of Phrynosoma platyrhinos (Desert horned lizard), 72 nucleotides long. Lineage: Eukaryota; Metazoa; Chordata; Lepidosauria; Squamata; Phrynosomatidae. The record is from the annotation of a GenBank genome assembly.
GCCAAUGUGGUGUAGUGGUUUGAACAUUGGACUAUCAUUCUGGAUACCAGGGUUCAAAUCCCCACAUUCUCA